ACAAACAUGGCCAGAUUCUGUACUGUUGAACCUAUGUCACCUUGCUGAAGGCCAUGGGUAUAGCUGAAGGCAGAAUUUGGCUCAUUCAAUUUAAUGAUCAUGUUGACACACAAUUUUAAGAUUAAAUGGCAUUGUGUAAUUCAUUACUAGUUAAAAUGCUAGUUUCAUGACAGGAUAAUUUAACCCCAGAGUCAGUGCAGAAACCCCUGCAGUCAAACAAAAUUAAGAACAAUAAGUUAAGAACAGGAAAAAAUGAGUUUAUGCUAAGAAAAAAAUACAAAGAUGCAGUAUGCUAUGUUAGAUGUUUAACUAUACAUAAGAGACAGGUGUCACAAAAACAAACAAACAAAAAUCAUGAAGUCAAAGAGAAACUUUAACUCACCAGUUUCCAUCUGUUAAAUCUGAAUCUAUGCAUAAUUGAUUAUCCAUGACUGGUAAGUUCUUCUUUUCCUAGCCUAACAUUCCAUUAAACAGUUUUUGAAAAACAGUAAGGACAGAAUAAAAAAAUUUUUAAAUGAAAAAUUACGUAUCAGUUAAUAAUAUAGCUGACCUGUGUUUGAGAAUUUUAAUAAUGUGAAUCUUAAAUAGUAAUAACUUAUUCUGUUAUUGUUAUAGUAUGGUUAAAAGCUUCUCCAUGCUUAAGGAAAGAGGAAAAGUAGGAAUAUGUAACAGUGUGUGUGUGUGGGGGGGGGGAGAUACAGAAAGAUGAGAAGCAGAGACAUAAGGAAAAUGUGUCAACAAUAAACAAGAGGAAAUGAGAAAGAAGGAAAAGAUGAAGGUGGAAACUAAUCUCUGUGUGUCAUUAUGACUGCCAGAGUACUGGCAAAGCAGCAGCAUCCUUUUAUUUCAAUUUUAAUCAUUUCUGAAUUUUAAUACCCUGCUCCUUUUGUAAUUCUCCUGGCAUUCCCCAUAUGCAUCCAUCCCAGCCAAAACACCAGUGUAAAUUAAAUGGCACACAACCACACUACUUAUGUAGCUUUCCCAAAAGAACCAAUCGGGUGACCAAAAGCAGAAAAGGUAUGUCUACCUUGUGUCCCUGUGGAUGGCUAGCCAAUUAACUGACUUAAUGUUCCCCACUUUCUUUAAUUUUGAAAAGAAGGGCAGUGGUUAAGUAACCUAGUAAUACAGAAUCAUUAAAUAAAUAAAUAAAUAAAUAAAUAAAGCAAGCCAGUAGUAAUACAAUAAUCAGUGACCAUCAGGGCCUGGAAAAAUGAGUUUGCUCUCACUGGCACUAAGGAGCAUCACAUGAUUAUUUAAUUACAGCUCUAAUUUUUGUCUUGUGGAUGGCAACAUAUCAACAAUUAAUAGGGCAAAUAGAGGAGACUGCAUUUUUAAAGAGACAGAACCUAUAAAAUACUCCUUGGAAAUACAGUAUGUCAAACAGUAAAAUGCUGCUUGAGGAAUCUCUAUCUUUGUGUCACACAAAUAGCUGUUUAACUAUGCAACAAAUAUAUUAAAAAUAUCAACUCUGCAGGUAUAACUUUAUUAGAUGGUAUCUGAAAGCAUUUUUCAGAAUAGUCAACAAUAAUAAGCUUGUUUCUCACAGGAUAAAUCACCCAAAUACAGCAUUUAAUGGAAUCACAAGUCCAAUAAAUGAAAAUGUUGUUAUAAAAUGAACACAUCCUUUAUUUUAAAAAAGUACUACAGUAUUCUGCAGUAAUUAUAGCGAGGAUUAUAGUCUUCAGUAAGCCAAAUUAAAUAUUACAUCGGCAGUGGGACUUAAAUAGGAGAUUUUCUUACAGAGAGUACUGAAUUAGGUUCAGUAGCAAUACUGCCGUGGUUGGGUCUAUUCAUGAAAAAUGCUGUAGCAUUGUUCUUGUUUUUAAUCAUAGAAAACAUACCUAUGAUCUAAGCACCCACUUUUGCCCUCAGUUACGCAUGUGCAGUUCCCAUUAUACCUGAUCCUGCUAGUAAUCUCAAUGCAAAACAACCAUUGGCAACUAUGCUGAGUUCUGCAUAUGGAACACUUACAUUAUUGGGAUCACAGUAAUCAGUGUAACCUGGACACACAUUGGAGGGGGGAAACUGGCACUAGGUAAAUAUAUUAUUUUGCUUAUGAUGAUAGUCAUUUUCUAUAGCUUCUGGUAGUCCAAAUCACUGGUCACAAAUAUUUAUUAUAUAGAAUGUAUUUCAGGCAAUAAUAGUAUUUAAGAGCUAAUGCUGGAAAAUAAGAUUCUAAAUGUCAUGUCAUAUACGUUAAAAAAAUAAAAACAAAACAAAAGACCACCCACCACACUACAAUUAGAUUAUUAUUAUUGAGUCUGUCUACUCAAUAUGCAAUGAAAAUAAUUUUUCUUAAAAAGUUUUAAAAAAUGCCUGUAAGGAUAUUUGAUUUGAAUGGGCAAAGACAUAUAUGAAUUGUUUCCAUGUACAAGACUGGGAAAGAAAAUAAAACUGGUAAACAAUUUUUAAGUAUUACUUAAAUAAACGAAAGUGUUAACAACUUUUUCAAAUUUUUUUUUAAAUUAAGUUGAGUUGUUUUGACUGAAGUCAUGAAAAUUCUGGAUUGAAGAUCUGAAUCUAUAAUCUUAAAAAGAAGGUUGGCAAGCAAGAGCCUGCAUAACUUCAUCUACUGUUACGGAGAUUGUACACCCUGAUGGAGGGCUUGUAGAACCAUUAAAAAGUCAACAUUUGCCAACUGGUAAACAGAUAUUACUUAUAUCCGAUACACAGUAACUGUUGGUAAACACCUACUUUUUAAAAAUGGCCAUUGCAUAUCCUUUUUGUUGUAACAAUUACAAACUGUGGUACAUUGUUGGUUAGAAUUAGAGUUGUUAGUACCAUACAUAUGGAAGAGGACGUAUACCUUUAAUUUAAUAUUAAAUGUAGUAAGUUUAUAACUUGUUUUGAACAAAGGGGACCUCAGCGGCAAAGAUUAGAUGCAGAACACCCUGAUAGUAUCAGAGGGGUAGCCGUGUUAGUCUGAAUCUGUAAAAAGCAACAGAGGGUCCUGAUAGUGAAUUUAAUGGUAUUCUCUUCAAAGUGUAAGCUGUUUUUACUAAUGUUAUCUACAGGUUAGCAGUCAGGUAAUGAAACAAAGUUUAAAAAUAACAAUGGAAUUUUCUGAGGUAGGAAACAGACUUUUUAAGAAGUUGCAAAAUUUAAGUAGAAGUACCACAAGUUCUUAUUUAACAAUCAAACUGGAAUAUAGGUUGUUUUGAUUUUUUAAAUAAUGUACAGCAACUUUGUAACAACUAAAGUUUAAAAAUGCAUUAGAUUGCAUAGUGAAAGAGUUGCAGAACAUUUUUCAUCAUACACACAUCUGUGUUCUCAGUUAUUAAUAAAAUGCUUCUGCCCUUAUUUGCAGUUGUCUGAAUAUACAAUCUAAGUGGCUCGGUAGGCAUAUAUUCUUAAGGAAUGAUGUUUUCACUGUUUGAAACACAACUCAAGAAUGCUAGGCAAAACUGAAUACGGUUUCUUUAAAACUGGCUUCUGCAUGCCACAGAAAGCAUAUCUGGAAUGAUAACAAAACUUUUCUUUUUCAAACAAGGAAGAGUCAGCUGCCAUGGAUAACACCGCAGGUAGAUAUUAAAAUGGAGACAGAACAAUUAUUUAGUGGCAACAAGAAUAUAAAUACAUGCACUAACCUAUAAACUGGUAUUUACUUCAGGAAAAUAAGUAAUAUUUUCCCUCUGAUUGCAGUGCUGUCAGUUUAAUGCAGCGUAAAUAAACAGUAGGUGCAUGAUAGCUUUAAGUAGAAAGUGUUCACUCCACAAGAGGAGCAGAUUACUAAAGCCUGAUGCCCAUAAUGGCAAAAACAGAACUUCCAUUUUACCAGAAAAAUAUGUUUUCUCAUACUAAGUGAUUAAUAGCUUUUCUAUUAAAUCAGUUUGUCAAAAUUCUAUGAAAAAUGCUAUAAAAUCAAACAACUUUAGCAAAAACAUUUAUUUUAGCAGCCCUAAAUUUAAAUAAUUAAAAAAGUAAAAAAUGCUCUUCUAUAAUUUUAUCAUCCCGCUCUAAAUGACCACUUCAUAUCAUCAUCCCAGUAUAGCAAAAAUAAAAUAAAAUGAUAUAUGGAACUGCCUAUACUUUCAGUUUUUUUCUCCUUGUAUUCCCUGACUGAAAAUCAAAGUUUCCUCUUUGGAAAAAGCAAUGAUUUCUAAGGAGAUUGUAUAUACACCCUACAUCUAUUAACAUAAAUUAAAAAACUAAAAUGUUCCACUUAUGUUUAAAACUGUUCUAGAAGGAAAGUUUGUGGUGUUAUUAGAUAUUUAAUAAAUAUAUCUAGAGAAAGCCAUGGCAGGUAUGCAUAAGAGGGUUAUAAAACUCUGCAGUAGUAUAUAUGCUAAAAUAGAAUAUUCCUUAGAAACAUGACUGAAAUAUUUAAAAAAAAAAAAAAACACAUUUCCCCCAUUAUUAAUAGAGAUAUUUAAGUAGCCUGGAAUGUUGUGUUAUCUUGAACAACAAUUUCUCUGUAAUCCAAGUGCAAAAUGUUAAUAUAUUUAUCAAUCAAUUAAAUUAAUAAAAUUUACUAAUCUGUUUGUCUCCCUCCCCCAAUACAACUAGAAAGCAUAACAAGAAUUUCACUUUAAUCUUAUGGUAUUCAGUUAAAAAAAAUCUGGCAAACAGCUGUAUUUCAACAAAUGUAUUCCUUGACUGAAAUAAAAUUUUCCUCUAAUUUAAAAUAUCAAAUUAAAUUUUUUUUAAAUAAUGCUGAACUAUAUUGAAGAUUGCAAAAAUUGAAGUCCUAUGCAUUUAAUCCCUUCUCCAACAAAAAUAUUAAUGUAAUAUAAGUUGUAGUUAUCCAUGACUUGACUACAUGAAAGAGAGACACUUCUGUGGUUUGAAAGGGCACACCUGCCUACAUCCCUUUGGGAUUUUAUAUUACUGAAUUACUAUGGUACUUUGAAGACAGUACAUUGUAUUUAGUUUAGUACUAGUUUAGUACUAUUUAUAACCAAAGGAUCUCUAUAAUAAUAAGGGACAGGUGCUUAUCAGCUGACCUUCUGGGCCUACAUUGCAAACCAUAACUUGUUAAGAUCAAAAUGAUUACUGCAAGCUUUGGCUAAAUUGGGAGCUUCUCUCUUUCUUCCUGUUCUGCAAAUCAACAUAUACCAUUAAUGAAUCUCAGGCUGACUUUACCCACUUUAUAUUUCUUUCUCAGAAAUAAGCAGUAUUUAAGUACUUAUCCUUAGAUAAGUCUUGUUGAAAGAACAGGAGAAGAGAAGGAGGAACUGUUUUGGUUGUUACUUUGCUAUUUAAUGAUUCAAGAACAAAGAAUAUUAAAAAGAAACUAACUUUUAAAAAAAUGCAUGAACAAAAAGCAUUCCACUUAAAUAUUUUUGUCCCAGUAAAGUCAUUUUGCAUACAAAGAACUAUUAUUUAAUUACACAUUUGCACUUGUAGGGAAAAGGAGGAAUGCACUGCUUCCAGAAGG
Trachemys scripta elegans is the source of this 5377-nucleotide long non-coding RNA. RefSeq lists it as uncharacterized. The record is from RefSeq and is a predicted model, not a curated record. The transcript is spliced from 2 exons. NCBI's taxonomy places the organism in Eukaryota, Metazoa, Chordata, Testudines, Emydidae.